CCAGCACCCGCGGUAAUUCCAGCUCCAAUAGCGUAUACUAAAGUUGUUGCAGUUAAAAAGCUCGUAGUUGAAUUUCUGGUUUCGGAGCGCGGUCGGCCUCUAGGGGUUUGUACCUGUGAGCUGAAGCCAUCCUCGGGGAGAACAUGUCUGCCAUUAACUUGGUGGGCAUGGGACCCUCGUCAUUUACUGUGAGCAAAAUAGAGUGUUCAAAGCAGACUUAUGUCUUGAAUACAUUAGCAUGGAAUAAUAAGAUAGGACCUUGGUCUAUUUUGUUGGUUUGUACUCCAAGGUAAUGAUUAAUAGGGAUAGUUGGGGGUAUUCGUAUUCAAUUGUCAGAGGUGAAAUUCUUG
RNAcentral lists this ribosomal RNA (350 nucleotides) under uncultured eukaryote. RNAcentral describes it as "SSU rRNA". It matches the Rfam family "Eukaryotic small subunit ribosomal RNA", at positions 567 to 922 of the family's 1831-position model. The record is from RNAcentral.